UGGAGGCGGAGCUACCAUGCAAGUCGAGCGCACCCUUCGGGGCGAGCGGCGGACGGGUUAGUAACGCGUGGGAACGUACCCUUUUCUACGGAAUAGCCUCGGGAAACUGAGAGUAAUACCGUAUAAGCCCUUCGGGGGAAAGAUUUAUCGGUAAAGGAUCGGCCCGCGUUAGAUUAGAUAGUUGGUGGGGUAAUGGCCUACCAAGUCUACGAUCUAUAGCUGGUUUUAGAGGAUGAUCAGCAACACUGGGACUGAGACACGGCCCAGACUCCUACGGGAGGCAGCAGUGGGGAAUCUUAGACAAUGGGCGCAAGCCUGAUCUAGCCAUGCCGCGUGUGUGAUGAAGGCCUUAGGGUCGUAAAGCACUUUCGCCAGGGAUGAUAAUGACAGUACCUGGUAAAGAAACCCCGGCUAACUCCGUGCCAGCAGCCGCGGUAAUACGGAGGGGGUUAGCGUUGUUCGGAAUUACUGGGCGUAAAGCGUACGUAGGCGGAUCAGAAAGUAGGGGGUGAAAUCCCGAGGCUCAACCUCGGAACUGCCUCCUAAACUCCUGGUCUUGAGUUCGAGAGAGGUGAGUGGAAUUCCAAGUGUAGAGGUGAAAUUCGUAGAU
Molecule: ribosomal RNA, 610 nt
Filed under: Sulfitobacter sp.
Lineage: Bacteria; Pseudomonadati; Pseudomonadota; Alphaproteobacteria; Rhodobacterales; Roseobacteraceae
Description: bacterial SSU rRNA
Rfam family: Bacterial small subunit ribosomal RNA
Source: RNAcentral